GACGAACGCUGGCGGCGUGCUUAACACAUGCAAGUCGAACGGAAAGGCCCUGCUUUUGUGGGGUGCGCGAGUGGCGAAAGGGUGAGUAACACACGAGUAACCUGCCCUUGACUUUGGGGGAACUUCAGUAGACUGGGGGUAAUAUCGGAGAGGAGCUCCUGCUGCACGGCGGGGGUGGGAGAGAUGCGGUGGUGGGGGAGGGGCUCGCGGCUUAUCAGCUUGUUGGGGGGGUAAUGGCGUACCAAGGCGUUGACGGGUAGCCGGCCUGAGAGGGUGACCGGCCACACUGGGACGGAGACACGGCCCAGACUCCUACGGGAGGCAGCAGUGGGGAAUAUUGCACAAUGGGCGCAAGCCUGAUGCAGCAACGCCGCGUGAGGGACGACGGCCUUCGGGUUGUAAACCUCUUUUAGCAGGGAAGAAGCGAAAGUGACGGUACCUGCAGAAAAAGCACCGGCUAACUACGUG
RNAcentral lists this ribosomal RNA (468 nucleotides) under uncultured bacterium. RNAcentral describes it as "partial 16S ribosomal RNA". It matches the Rfam family "Bacterial small subunit ribosomal RNA", at positions 28 to 507 of the family's 1533-position model. The record is from RNAcentral.